RNAcentral lists this long non-coding RNA (6401 nucleotides) under Coffea arabica (coffee). Its description in RNAcentral is "long non-coding RNA (CARA_LNC002173)". The record is from RNAcentral. Lineage: Eukaryota; Viridiplantae; Streptophyta; Magnoliopsida; Gentianales; Rubiaceae.
ACAAGAACUUGUACGAGCAGGUCAAUGCCAUUGCUUCAAGGAAGGGUUGUACUCCAUCACAGCUAGCAUUGGCCUGGGUCCAUCACCAAGGCAAUGAUGUUUGCCCCAUACCUGGCACUACCAAGAUUGAGAACCUCAAUCAUAAUAUAGGAGCUUUGUCUGUAAAACUGUCAGCAGAGGAAAUGGCGGAACUUGAAUCUAUUGCUUCUGCAGGAGUCAAGGGUGAUAGGUAUGGGCCUGGCAUUAGUACUUGGCAAACUUCUGAAACUCCACCUUUGUCAACCUGGAAGAGGACAUGAAGACAUAGCUUUGUUGUGGCAAUAAUUCCUUCUAGCUAUGUGCCUGAUGGUGGAUUUCACUAUAUUAAGAGUUGAAUGAUAUGUAUUUGUUCCAAUAAAUUUCAUCAUACUAUUGUCUCUAGGGUUAAGGCAAGUAAAGUUAUAAGAAGAAUGGAGUUUCUUCAGAGAAGUUGUAAUGAAUGAAGAUAUGGUCAUGUAAAAAAAGCAGAACAUAAUUUUCCUUGCAAUUGAAUGCGUUAAAUAUUAUCUAUUCUACUUCUGAAUGUUACUAGUAAUAAUUCACGUGAUUUGCACGCAAUUGUAACAUCUUGAAAUGUAUUAUUCUGUAGGUAUUAAAAGUUUUUAUGAAAUUUUGAUCAUCAACAUCAUAAUAUAGUAUUUUUAUGUUAUUUUUUUUAGCUAGUUAUUUUUAAAAAUUUUGUUAAAUGAAAAGAGACGGAAAACAUUCUAACAUAGUUUUCAUGUCCCUUAGGAUUCAAUUUGGAAUCAUGGUGCAAACACUUUUUGCGUUUUAGCUUGAAUUCUAACAUAUCAAAUAUUGAUAAUAUCAUGUUUUAUCAAAAUGAUUGUAUAUUCAUGAUUCUAUUGCAAAUUAUGAGUUAUAUUCUUAUGAGAUGAAAUGAUGUUAUGGACAAGUUACAUGAUUUACCAAGUUUCUCUGUGAACAUGUUCAUAUUAUGUUAUAUGUUUUAUGCCACUCAAUUUUCAAUGACAUCUGUAUAUGUAUUUAUGAAGCAAUGUCAAUAUUUUCAAACUGAGAUAUCCAUGCAAUUUUGUGUGAUCAAGUAUAUAACUACAUGAACCUGCAGGAGAGGUGUGAUGCUUACUCAGCAUACAUUGCUCAAUUCAUGUGUCCUUCAAGAAAGGAAAAUCGUUUACUUCUUAGGAAUUAAGAGUAAGAUAAAUAGACUGAUGAUCAAGUUCUAGAGAUUAUAGAAUAAGAUGUUUAACAGGUGCACAAAUAGAUUAGUAAUAAAGCUCCACGGAUUAUAGAAUAAGGUGUUUAACCGGUAUAUUAAAUUAAUAGUACGUGGUUUGUUUGAAUAGUGUUUUAUUUGACAAAUUUUAUUUAUUUGUAUUGUCAGCACAUUUUUCAACCACCUUCUCAUUUCAUAUAUAUCAUAUCAUCUAAAAAGUGUUAUAAUAUAUAUAUUUUUUACAAAAUUAUCUCAAAUAAUCUACUACUCCCUUCGUCCCAUUUUGAUAGUCAUGUAUUCCUUUUUCAUCUGUCCCAAAUUGUAGUCCACUUUCCAAUUGAACAAUAUAGUUGUAUUUUAAUUUUUCUAAAAUACCCUUAUUUAAUGUAAGUAGUUAUUACUAUAAACCUACCCCAUUUAAUGAGAAUUGAUUCUUUUUUUUACCAUCAAUUCAAGUUCCCAUAAAAUUGUACCAUAUUUAAUGUGAGGGUAUUUUAGGAAAAUAACAAUCUAAAUUUACUUUUUUAAUAAAGUUAAUUAUUUUUUCUUAAACUGUGCGAGAAAAGAAACAAGAUUAUCAAAAUGGGACGGACGGAGUAUUUAAACACGCUAGCGGUUUCGCAUGACGUUACAGACCCGGCCCAUGGUGGACUUUGGAUCUAUGGUUUCCGGAUUUGAGGCGUGACAGGAAUUGUCCAUAUGCUUAUAGAUCCAAAAGAUUAGCUCAAUCGAUGCACUGCCAGAAUCCUCCGUUGCAGGCUUCAGUAAUGUAUACGUGCACAUGGGCCUGCAUUAAUGGUCAACUGAAUUCCAACUCAAUACAUAAAAUGUCCAUUUAGUGGGCAAAUUUUUGUCUUCCUUUCAGGUAACAAGUGCACAAUUCAAUGCAAAUGUCAACUGAAUUUGAUACAAACUUACCGUUUAAUCACUAAUGUAAAUGCCAACGGAAUCUACAAGCCUACAAUUUAAAAUUAGUGUACCUCAAAAUCACAGCCAGCGAAUAUCACAUCGAUAUCAUUGAAACAACUACUGUGGAAAAAUCGCCCGUCCCGAGGAAUUUGAUAAUAAUUAUUGUACUUCCCUCGCCUAAUUUGGUAAAUUUGAUUUUUUUUUUCAUGCAGUUUAAAAAAAUUAAUUAAUCUUAUUUUUUUUUUCCCAAACGAAUUAAUCUUAUUGAAAGAGUAAAAAUCUAACUUAAUACUCCCUCCGUCCCACUUUGAUAGUCUUGUUUUCCUCUUUCGUCUGUCCCAAAUUGUAGUCCACUUUUUUCAUUAAGAAAUGUAGUAAUCUUUCAAAUUGUCUAAAAUACCCUUAUUAAAUAUCUUGUUAUUAAUACAUUGUUAUUAAAUACUAACCCACUAUAUUGAAUACAUUGAGCUUUUCCAAUACAUAGAUAACUGAUAUUUAUUGGCACCAUUAGCUGUAACUGAUAUUAAUUGGCACUUUGUGAUUAGCAUAAGGGUAUUUUAGGAAAUUAUUAAUCUAAAUUUAUGUUUUCAACCAAAUUAAUUACACUUUCUUAAUCUAUGUGAAAAAAAAAUUAAGACUAACAAAACGAGACGGAGGGAGUAUGUUUCUAAAAUAUCUUUACAUUAAAUGGAGCAUGACUAUUAGUUUUCUUUUUUUUUAAUCAGUUUGACAGACCAAAUUGACACCUAUAUAUAUAUAUAUAUAUAUAUAUAUAUAUAUAUAUCUAUUUUGUCAGACCAAUAUGAGAGUUUUUCAAUUUGAGGAACCAAUAAAAUUGUUAAAAAACUUGUAACAAAUAAACUUGACAAAAAACUUGCGUACCAAACAAGGCCUAAGAUGAUUUGCUACUUAGGAGAACCGCAUCGAAAUUUCCGAGUUGCUUAGUAGAAGUUUUUUUUUCUUAACAAUGAAUUUUGACAGAUUUAAUCAUGGCCAUUAAUUAAUCCUUCCCUAAUGCCACCAGAGCAGCCGGCCAUACUUCAUCCAUAAAAAGCCAUAUUCCUAAAGCACUAUUCACUUGCUAAAAAAAGUCAAUUCUGCUCCGUUCUACUGUUUAAACUUCCACUGUGUCUGUGUCUUUUGUCUGAAAAUGGCAGCGGCGGCAGCAGCAGCAGCAGCAGCAGCAGCAGUAGCAGAAGUGAAGGUGCCAAGAAUCAAGCUGGGCUCACAAGGUUGUGAAGUUUCAGCUCAAGGGCUGGGCUGCAUGGGCAUGUCAGCCUUCUACGGCCCGCCCAAGCCCGAGCCCGACAUGAUCAAGCUCAUCCACCAUGCUAUUAGCAGAGGUAUCACUCAUCUGGACACCUCCGAUGUCUAUGGACCUCACACUAACGAAAUACUCAUUGGAAAGGUACUAUAUUUGCCUUUUUAAAUUACUCUUGCUUAAGAGAAGUAGAUUUGUGACUUUAUAUUUAAGGUGAAUCACACUUAAGCCCAUGAAUAUAUAUGCUUCUCACUUAGCCCCCUCAAGUUUAUUUGUAUGUCCUUGAUAAUUAAUGGCAUGAAAGCGUGGUUUUAGGCUUUGAAGGAAGGAAUGAGAGAUAAUUAAUGGCAUGAAAGCGUGGUUUUAGGCUUUGAAGGAAGGAAUGAGAGCGAAAGUGGAGCUAGCAACGAAAUUUGCAGUCUCUUACGAGGAUGGAAAGUUUGACAUAUGCGGUGAUCCAGCCUAUGUGAGAGCUGCGUGUGAAGCCAGCUUGAAGCGGCUUGAUGUGGACUGCAUUGAUCUCUAUUAUCAACAUCGCAUCGAUACACGCGUGCCCAUUGAAGUCACGGUUUGCUCCAUUUUGACAAUUUGAUGUUCUUUGACAACUUUGACAAAGUACACAUCCAACUGAAAUCAGCACAUAUAUUGAUAAUAGAGAAAGUUCAUUUUGAUGUUCUUAACAAUUUCUUCACCAUUAUGGGCUACUGUACAUACUAAUCUUCAUCUCAGUAAAGCUGAUUUAGCACCAGGCAUCUCAAAAAGUAAAAAGAACCAACAUCAUCUCAAAAAGUAAAAAGAACCAACAUAUUUGUCUUGUAUAUGUGCACAGGUAUUUUAGCUUGCCAGCCCUGCUGAGGGAGGUACAGGUGGAUAUGAUGCCAUACAUUGUACGUAUUUCCUUUAGAACUAGAAGACCUGUGCAUUCCUUUCAUUUGAAAUAGACCACUCAGUUGAGUAUUAUUAUUUAGAAACAGUCAACAAUGUCAUUAUUGAUGUUACAGGAGCAUUGUGUUCGCAUGGUCCAAUAGAGCCAAGUCAACUGGUGGGAUUAAUAACAAUAUCAUCUUGAGAAGUUCAAUUGGCUGCGUAUUGCACUUUUUCCAAGUGAUGAUUUCAGUUGGAUGUAUACUUUGUCAAAGUUGUUCGCUGCACUGAAUUAGUGUUACUUUUACUCUAUGCUUGUAUAAUUUCAACUGUCUGCCUUAGUAUGGAAAAAGAUAAACCAGCUUAGCAUUUUCUUGUUUGUCGUUGUAUUCUCAAUUUUUCUAGAUUGGAGAACUUAAAAAACUGGUUGAAGAGGGUAAAAUAAAGUAUAUAGGUCUAUCCGAGGCCUCUGCUUCAACAAUUAGAAGAGCACAUGCUGUUCAUCCAAUAACAGCUAUACAGUUGGAGUGGUCAUUGUGGAGCAGAGAUGUCGAGGAAGAGAUCAUUCCCACUUGCAGGUAGUGCAUUUAUUCUUCUUCAUGUUCUACAUGGUCUAGAAGGAAACAUGUUCUGAAUUCACUUUUGGUGUAAUCUUUUAGAGAGCUUGGCAUAGGGAUUGUUGCAUACAGUCCACUCGGACAAGGAUUCUUCUCUUCAGGUCCAAAGCUGAUUGAGAAUUUGACUGAAGGUGACUUCCGAAAGGUUUGUGCAUAUCCAAAAAGAUAAGUAGUUUUUGGUGAAGUAUGUGUACAGUUGGUAUAUGCGAGUUUCUUAGUCGUCAACUUUUACCACAUUCAGUCGCAGUCAUUGCUCAAUAUCCCUAUUCUUUUCUAUCUGUUAUAUGUUGCUGCAUUUUUUGAUACCCAAGCCUGAGCUUUUUCUAAAAUGAUCAAAUUUAAUGAAUUUUUUGGUCAACUGUGACGCAACAAGGUUUUCUAUCUGACAAGUCUUGUAGUCUUGAAUUCCAAUAAAUGCAAUUUUUGGUAUUGGUAUAAACUGAACCUUUUGUACAUACAGGAUAGGAAUUGUGUGCUUUCUAUAUAUUUUGAAUUUUUUUAAAAGAAAAAGAUGGCACUAGCAUUGUCAAACUUUUAGAUAUUUUCUUGAAAGAAGGUUUUCCUUGCAUGCUGGAAAAUUAUAAAAGGACAGAGCAAUGGGUAAUGUUCUAUUUUGCAGUGCGCGAACGUCCUGGACAUGAAAACAGGAAGAAACUAUGGCAUCUUUAAGGAAACGGUUAUUUACAAUAUUGAGGGAAAGUGGACCUUAGGUUUCAAGCUCGUUGUUUGGUCUCGAGCUGUUGUUUUUCCUUUUUGGUUAAUCCUUUAACCUAGUUUCAUUGGUCAUUAGUUCACUUCCUAGUAGUAGUGCCAUCUCCAUCGUUCAAAAAUAUAGUUGAUUUCUAGUUUGACCUUCCUCUUUUAUGGAAUUGCAUCUCAGAAUCUACCUUCUACAAUUGAUGUCUCCCACCUGGAGUACUCUGUCCGGCCACCUUACUGCAUUGUUCAUUCCGCCGCACUUGUACACUUCAAACAAUAUUUCCAAUUAUUCUGAUAUAAUUUUAAGGAUUAAUCUUUGUUAUACUGACAGUGUAUGCAUCAUUAGCGUUGGAUGAACGACAAUCAUGCAAAAUUUAAAAUUGAAAUUCAACUUAAGCAUAUAUGUCAUGAAUUCAAUGAUGAUAGUGCAUACACUAUUAGUGUAUAUAAAAUUUACUCUAAUUUACUCUAAUUUUAAUUGUCUGUGUGGGCUGCUCCUUUUGUGCGCUUUAACCCCUCCAGAUUCUGGUUUUACAGUUGCUUAACAUUGAAAUUCACACAAUGCAGUAUUUGCCAAGGUUUCAAGCAGAGAAUUUGGAGCACAACAAGAAGUUGUAUGAGCGUGUCAAUGCCAUUGCUUCAAGGAAGGGUUGUACUCCAUCACAGCUAGCAUUGGCCUGGGUCCAUCACCAAGGCAAUGAUGUUUGCCCCAUACCCGGCACUACCAAGAUUCAGAACCUCAAUCAGAAUAUAGGAGCUUUAUCCGUAAAACUGUCCGCAGAGGAUAAGGCGGAACUCGAAUCUAUUGCUUCGGCUGGAGUCAAGGGUGAGAGAU